AGAGUUUGAUCAUGGCUCAGAGCGAACGUUAGCGGCGGGCCUAACACAUGCAAGUCGAACGAGAAUGUAGGCUUCGGUCUACUAGUAAAGUGGCGGACGGGUGCGUAACACGUGGGUAAUCUACCUUCCGGCGGGGGACAACAGUCCGAAAGGAUUGCUAAUACCGCAUACGUCAGCGGCGCCUACGGGCGCUGUUGGGAAAGACGGCCUCUCCUUGGAAGCUGUCACCGGAAGAUGAGCCCGCGCCCCAUCAGCUAGUUGGUGAGGUAAUGGCUCACCAAGGCUUAGACGGGUAGCUGGUCUGAGAGGAUGAUCAGCCACACUGGGACUGCGACACGGCCCAGACUCCUACGGGAGGCAGCAGUGGGGAAUAUUGGGCAAUGGGCGAAAGCCUGACCCAGCCACGCCGCGUGAGUGAUGAAGGCCUUCGGGUCGUAAAGCUCUGUGGGGAGGGACGAACAAAUCUGGGGCUAAUCACCCGGGUCCUGACGGUACCUCCUUAGCAAGCACCGGCUAACCCUGUGCCAGCAGCCGCGGUAAUACAGGGGGUGCAAACGUUGCUCGGAAUCAUUGGGCGUAAAGCGCACGUAGGCGGUUUGUUAUGUCGGAUGUGAAAGCCCUUGGCUCAACUGAGGAAGUGCAUCCGAAACUGGCAAGCUAGAGUACUAAAGAGGGUCGCGGAAUUCCCGGUGUAGAGGUGAAAUUCGUAGAUAUCGGGAGGAACACCGGUGGCGAAGGCGGCGACCUGGGUAGAUACUGACGCUGAGGUGCGAAAGCGUGGGGAGCAAACAGGAUUAGAUACCCUAGUAGUCC
Molecule: ribosomal RNA, 813 nt
Filed under: uncultured bacterium
Lineage: Bacteria
Description: bacterial SSU rRNA
Rfam family: Bacterial small subunit ribosomal RNA
Source: RNAcentral